RNAcentral lists this ribosomal RNA (335 nucleotides) under uncultured bacterium. RNAcentral describes it as "bacterial SSU rRNA". It matches the Rfam family "Bacterial small subunit ribosomal RNA", at positions 28 to 357 of the family's 1533-position model. The record is from RNAcentral.
GAUGAACGCUAGCGGCAGGCUUAAUACAUGCAAGUCGUGGGGCAGCAUGAGUAGCAAUACUUGAUGGCGACCGGCAAACGGGUGAGGAACACGUACACAACCUUCCUUCAAGCGGGGAAUAGCCCAGAGAAAUUUGGAUUAAUACCCCAUAAUAUAUUUGAUAAGGCAUCUUAUUAAUAAUUUAAAGCUUUCGGCACUUGAUGAUGGGUGUGCGGCUGAUUAGAUAGUUGGCGGGUAACGGCCCACCAAGUCUACGAUCAGUAGCUGAUGUGAGAGCAUGAUCAGCCACACGGGCACUGAGACACGGGCCCGACUCCUACGGGAGGCAGCAGUAA